RNAcentral lists this ribosomal RNA (497 nucleotides) under uncultured bacterium. RNAcentral's name for it is "partial 16S ribosomal RNA". It matches the Rfam family "Bacterial small subunit ribosomal RNA", at positions 28 to 507 of the family's 1533-position model. The record is from RNAcentral.
GAUGGACGCUGGCGGCGUGCCUAAUACAUGCAAGUCGAGCGAACGGACGAGAAGCUUGCUUCUCUGAUGUUAGCGGCGGACGGGUGAGUAACACGUGGAUAACCUACCUAUAAGACUGGGAUAACUUCGGGAAACCGGAGCUAAUACCGGAUAAUAUUUUGAACCGCAUGGUUCAAAAGUGAAAGACGGUCUUGCUGUCACUUAUAGAUGGAUCCGCGCUGCAUUAGCUAGUUGGUAAGGUAACGGCUUACCAAGGCAACGAUGCAUAGCCGACCUGAGAGGGUGAUCGGCCACACUGGAACUGAGACACGGUCCAGACUCCUACGGGAGGCAGCAGUGGGGAAUCUUCCGCAAUGGGCGAAAGCCUGACGGAGCAACGCCGCGUGAGUGAUGAAGGUCUUCGGAUCGUAAAACUCUGUUAUUAGGGAAGAACAUAUGUGUAAGUAACUGUGCACAUCUUGACGGUACCUAAUCAGAAAGCCACGGCUAACUACGUG